GACGAACGCUGGCGGCGUGCUUAACACAUGCAAGUCGAACGAAGAGCGAUGGAAGCUUGCUUCUAUCAAUCUUAGUGGCGAACGGGUGAGUAACGCGUAAUCAACCUGCCCUUCAGAGGGGGACAACAGUUGGAAACGACUGCUAAUACCGCAUACGAUCUAACCUCGGCAUCGAGGAAAGAUGAAAGGUGGCCUCUAUGUAUAAGCUAUCACUGAAGGAGGGGAUUGCGUCUGAUUAGCUAGUUGGAGGGGUAACGGCCCACCAAGGCGAUGAUCAGUAGCCGGUCUGAGAGGAUGAACGGCCACAUUGGGGCUGAGACACGGCCCAGACUCCUACGGGAGGCAGCAGUGGGGAAUCUUCCGCAAUGGACGAAAGUCUGACGGAGCAACGCCGCGUGAGUGAUGACGGCCUUCGGGUUGUAAAGCUCUGUUAAUCGGGACGAAAGGCCUUCUUGCGAAUAGUUAGAAGGAUUGACGGUACCGGAAUAGAAAGCCACGGCUAACUACGUGCCAGCAGCCGCGGUAAUACGUAGGUGGCAAGCGUUGUCCGGAAUUAUUGGGCGUAAAGCGCGCGCAGGCGGAUCAGUCAGUCUGUCUUAAAAGUUCGGGGCUUAACCCCGUGAUGGGAUGGAAACUGCUGAUCUAGAGUAUCGGAGAGGAAAGUGGAAUUCCUAGUGUAGCGGUGAAAUGCGUAGAUAUUAGGAAGAACACCAGUGGCGAAGGCGACUUUCUGGACGAAAACUGACGCUGAGGCGCGAAAGCCAGGGGAGCGAACGGGAUUAGAUACCCCGGUAGUCCUGGCCGUAAACGAUGGGUACUAGGUGUAGGAGGUAUCGACCCCUUCUGUGCCGGAGUUAACGCAAUAAGUACCCCGCCUGGGGAGUACGACCGCAAGGUUGAAACUCAAAGGAAUUGACGGGGGCCCGCACAAGCGGUGGAGUAUGUGGUUUAAUUCGACGCAACGCGAAGAAUCUUACCAGGUCUUGACAUUGAUGGACAGAACUAGAGAUAGUUCCUCUUCUUCGGAAGCCAGAAAACAGGUGGUGCACGGUUGUCGUCAGCUCGUGUCGUGAGAUGUUGGGUUAAGUCCCGCAACGAGCGCAACCCCUAUCUUAUGUUGCCAGCACUUUGGGUGGGAACUCAUGAGAGACUGCCGCAGACAAUGCGGAGGAAGGCGGGGAUGACGUCAAAUCACCAUGCCCCUUAUGACCUGGGCUACACACGUACUACAAUGGGAGUUAAUAGACGGAAGCGAGAUCGCGAGAUGGAGCAAACCCGAGAAACACUCUCUCAGUUCGGAUCGUAGGCUGCAACUCGCCUACGUGAAGUCGGAAUCGCUAGUAAUCGCAGGUCAGCAUACUGCGGUGAAUACGUUCCCGGGCCU
This 1384-nucleotide ribosomal RNA is filed under the name uncultured bacterium. Its description in RNAcentral is "bacterial SSU rRNA". It matches the Rfam family "Bacterial small subunit ribosomal RNA", at positions 28 to 1381 of the family's 1533-position model. The record is from RNAcentral.